UAACACGUGGGUAACCUGCCUGUAAGACUGGGAUAACUCCGGGAAACCGGGGCUAAUACCGGAUGGUUGUUUGAACCGCAUGGUUCAAACAUAAAAGGUGGCUUCGGCUACCACUUACAGAUGGACCCGCGGCGCAUUAGCUAGUUGGUGAGGUAACGGCUCACCAAGGCAACGAUGCGUAGCCGACCUGAGAGGGUGAUCGGCCACACUGGGACUGAGACACGGCCCAGACUCCUACGGGAGGCAGCAGUAGGGAAUCUUCCGCAAUGGACGAAAGUCUGACGGAGCAACGCCGCGUGAGUGAUGAAGGUUUUCGGAUCGUAAAGCUCUGUUGUUAGGGAAGAACAAGUACCGUUCGAAUAGGGCGGUAC
RNAcentral lists this ribosomal RNA (371 nucleotides) under Bacillus subtilis subsp. subtilis. Its description in RNAcentral is "bacterial SSU rRNA". It matches the Rfam family "Bacterial small subunit ribosomal RNA", at positions 111 to 478 of the family's 1533-position model. The record is from RNAcentral. Lineage: Bacteria; Bacillati; Bacillota; Bacilli; Caryophanales; Bacillaceae.